CACGUAGGAGCCAAGCGUUAUCCGAAUUCACUGGGCGUAAAGCGCGUGUAGGCGGCUUGGUAAGUUGGAUGUGAAAGCUCCUGGCUCAACUGGGAGAGGACGUUCAAUACUGUCAGGCUAGAGGACGGCAGAGGGAGGUGGAAUUCCCGGUGUAGUGGUGAAAUGCGUAGAUAUCGGGAGGAACACCAGUGGCGAAGGCGGCCUUCUGGGCCGUACCUGACGCUCAGACGCGAAAGCUAGGGGAG
Molecule: ribosomal RNA, 245 nt
Filed under: uncultured Anaerolineaceae bacterium
Lineage: Bacteria; Bacillati; Chloroflexota; Anaerolineae; Anaerolineales; Anaerolineaceae
Description: partial 16S ribosomal RNA
Rfam family: Bacterial small subunit ribosomal RNA
Source: RNAcentral